AGCGAACGCUGGCGGCAGGCCUAACACAUGCAAGUCGAACGAACUCUUCGGAGUUAGUGGCGGACGGGUGAGUAACACGUGGGAACGUGCCUUUAGGUUCGGAAUAACUCAGGGAAACUUGUGCUAAUACCGAAUGUGCCCUUCGGGGGAAAGAUUUAUCGCCUUUAGAGCGGCCCGCGUCUGAUUAGCUAGUUGGUGAGGUAAAGGCUCACCAAGGCGACGAUCAGUAGCUGGUCUGAGAGGCUGAUCAGCCACAUUGGGACUGAGACACGGCCCAAACUCCUACGGGAGGCAGCAGUGGGGAAUCUUGCGCAAUGGGCGAAAGCCUGACGCAGCCAUGCCGCGUGAAUGAUGAAGGUCUUAGGAUUGUAAAAUUCUUUCACCGGGGACGAUAAUGACGGUACCCGGAGAAGAAGCCCCGGCUAACUUCGUG
Molecule: ribosomal RNA, 433 nt
Filed under: uncultured bacterium
Lineage: Bacteria
Description: partial 16S ribosomal RNA
Rfam family: Bacterial small subunit ribosomal RNA
Source: RNAcentral